AGAGAGAAGCUUCUCUGAUUGUGUAGAGCACCAGAAGCCACGAGGAGGACGUGUAGUGUUCCCUCCUGAGUGUGAAGCCAGCUCUUGGUGUUGCUUGAGUGCAACUGCCACUUGCCAUUGAUGAUUGUUCUUGCUGUCUCCUCCGAGUUAGUGAGAGGGGAGGAACACAGUCUGAGUGGU
This is a small nucleolar RNA of Cavia porcellus (domestic guinea pig), 180 nucleotides long. Its record names the gene U3. It matches the Rfam family "Small nucleolar RNA U3". From Rfam's summary of the family: Small nucleolar RNAs (snoRNAs) are involved in the processing and modification of rRNA in the nucleolus. There are two main classes of snoRNAs: the box C/D class, and the box H/ACA class. U3 snoRNA is a member of the box C/D class. NCBI's taxonomy places the organism in Eukaryota, Metazoa, Chordata, Mammalia, Rodentia, Caviidae. The record is from Ensembl.